Molecule: unclassified non-coding RNA, 222 nt
Filed under: Preussia dubia
Lineage: Eukaryota; Fungi; Ascomycota; Dothideomycetes; Pleosporales; Sporormiaceae
Description: partial internal transcribed spacer region
Rfam family: Eukaryotic small subunit ribosomal RNA (bases 1-46)
Source: RNAcentral
AAGUCGUAACAAGGUUUCCGUAGGUGAACCUGCGGAAGGAUCAUUAUCGUGGGGCUUCGGCCCUAUCGAGAUAGAACCCUUGCCUUUAUAGUACCUUCUGUUGCCUCGGCGUACGCUUCACCGCUGCGCCAACGGGGCCAACCAAAAACCCUUUUUCUAUCAUGAAUUAGUCUGAAAAACAAACAAAAGUUAAAACUUUCAACAACGGAUCUCUUGGUUCUG